This 88-nucleotide transfer RNA is filed under the name Sphaerobolus stellatus SS14. Its description in RNAcentral is "tRNA-Asp". Lineage: Eukaryota; Fungi; Basidiomycota; Agaricomycetes; Geastrales; Sphaerobolaceae. The record is from RNAcentral.
UCUUAGGUAGUAUAGUGGUUAGUAUUCGAGCCUGUCAAGAAUUCAACUCCAGUACGCGCGAGACCGGGUUCAAUUCCUUGUCAGAGAG